AGAAUUCACCAAGUGUUGGA
RNAcentral lists this small nuclear RNA (20 nucleotides) under Arabidopsis thaliana (thale cress). Its description in RNAcentral is "snRNA_01825". The record is from RNAcentral. Lineage: Eukaryota; Viridiplantae; Streptophyta; Magnoliopsida; Brassicales; Brassicaceae.